Molecule: non-coding RNA, 140 nt
Organism: Ciona savignyi (Pacific transparent sea squirt)
Lineage: Eukaryota; Metazoa; Chordata; Ascidiacea; Phlebobranchia; Cionidae
Source: Rfam
AGCUUUGCGCAGUGGCAGUAACAUAGCUGAUGAGGUUCAUCCGAGGCGUGUUUUUUGCUAGUUGAAAACUAUACCCAAUACCCCGCCCUGUGGACGUAUAAACCGUUCGCUGUGGCAAUUUCUGAUGGGUUCCCCGGAAC